GAUGAACGCUGGCGGCGUGCCUAAUACAUGCAAGUCGAGCGAACAGAUGAGGAGCUUGCUCCUCUGACGUUAGCGGCGGACGGGUGAGUAACACGUGGAUAACCUACCUAUAAAACGGGGAUAACUUGGGGAAACCGGAGCUAAUCCCGGAUAAUAUAUUGAACCGCAUGGUUAAUUAGUGAAAAACGGUUUUGCUGUAACUUAUAGAUGGAUCCGCGCCGCAUUAGCUAGUUGGUAAGGUAACGGCUUACCAAGGCAACGAUGCGUAGCCGACCUGAGAGGGUGAUCGGCCACACUGGAACUGAGACACGGUCCAGACUCCUACGGGAGGCAGCAGUAGGGAAUCUUCCGCAAUGGGCGAAAGCCUGACGGAGCAACGCCGCGUGAGUGAUGAAGGUCUUCGGAUCGUAAAACUCUGUUAUUAGGGAAGAACAAAUGUGUAAGUAACUAUGCACGUCUUGACGGUACCUAAUCAGAAAGCCACGGCUAACUACGUG
This 497-nucleotide ribosomal RNA is filed under the name uncultured bacterium. RNAcentral describes it as "partial 16S ribosomal RNA". It matches the Rfam family "Bacterial small subunit ribosomal RNA", at positions 28 to 507 of the family's 1533-position model. The record is from RNAcentral.